GACCCUUUCGGGUUAUAUGGUCAAGCGAUUAAGCGCAUACGGUGGAUGCCUUGGCAGCCAGAGGCGAUGAAGGACGUGGAAGCCUGCGAUAAGGCUCGGUGAGGUGGCAAACAACCUGUGACCCGGGCAUUUCCGAAUGGGGAAACCCACCCAGCACAAGCUGGGUAUCCCGCACUGAAUAUAUAGGUGUUGGGAGGCGAACCGGGGGAACUGAAACAUCUAAGUACCCCGAGGAAAAGAAAUCAACCGAGAUUCCCCCAGUAGCGGCGAGCGAACGGGGACUAGCCCUUAAGCGGCACAACUGAUAGGCGAACAGGCUGGGAAGCCUGACCAUAGUGGGUGAUAGUCCCGUAGCCGAAAUCUGAGUGUCGUGAAAUCGAGUAGGUCGGGGCACGUGAAACCUUGACUGAACAUGGGGGGACCAUCCUCCAAGGCUAAAUACUCCUGGCUGACCGAUAGUGAACCAGUACCGUGAGGGAAAGGCGAAAAGAACCCCGGAGAGGGGAGUGAAAUAGAUCCUGAAACCGUAUGCGUACAAGCAGUGGGAGCCCCUUCGUGGGGUGACCGCGUACCUUUUGUAUAAUGGGUCAGCGACUUAUUUUCAGUGGCGAGCUUAACCGAAUAGGGGAGGCGUAGGGAAACCGAGUCUUAACUGGGCGACCAGUCGCUGGGAAUAGACCCGAAACCGGGCGAUCUAUCCAUGAGCAGGUUGAAGGUUGAGUAACAUCAACUGGAGGACCGAACCAGGAUCUGUUGAAAAAGAUUUGGAUGACUUGUGGAUCGGAGUGAAAGGCUAAUCAAGCCCGGAGAUAGCUGGUUCUCCUCGAAAGCUAUUUAGGUAGCGCCUCACGUAUCACCACCGGGGGUAGAGCACUGUUUCGGCUAGGGGGCCAUCCCGGCUUACCAACCCGAGGCAAACUCCGAAUACCGGUGAGUGCCAGCGUGGGAGACACACAGCGGGUGCUAACGUCCGUUGUGAAAAGGGAAACAACCCAGACCGUCAGCUAAGGUCCCGAAAUCCUGGUUAAGUGGGAAACGAUGUGGGAAGGCUCAGACAGCUAGGAGGUUGGCUUAGAAGCAGCCAUCCUUUAAAGAAAGCGUAAUAGCUCACUAGUCGAGUCGGCCUGCGCGGAAGAUGUAACGGGGCUAAACCAGGUACCGAAGCUACGG
Molecule: ribosomal RNA, 1170 nt
Filed under: Billgrantia kenyensis
Lineage: Bacteria; Pseudomonadati; Pseudomonadota; Gammaproteobacteria; Oceanospirillales; Halomonadaceae
Description: partial 23S ribosomal RNA
Rfam family: Bacterial large subunit ribosomal RNA
Source: RNAcentral